RNAcentral lists this ribosomal RNA (621 nucleotides) under Salmonella enterica subsp. enterica serovar Schwarzengrund. RNAcentral describes it as "partial 23S ribosomal RNA". It matches the Rfam family "Bacterial large subunit ribosomal RNA", at positions 2204 to 2824 of the family's 2925-position model. Lineage: Bacteria; Pseudomonadati; Pseudomonadota; Gammaproteobacteria; Enterobacterales; Enterobacteriaceae. The record is from RNAcentral.
CCUUUAAUGUUUGAUGUUCUAACGUGGACCCGUGAUCCGGGUUGCGGACAGUGUCUGGUGGGUAGUUUGACUGGGGCGGUCUCCUCCUAAAGAGUAACGGAGGAGCACGAAGGUUGGCUAAUCCUGGUCGGACAUCAGGAGGUUAGUGCAAUGGCAUAAGCCAGCUUGACUGCGAGCGUGACGGCGCGAGCAGGUGCGAAAGCAGGUCAUAGUGAUCCGGUGGUUCUGAAUGGAAGGGCCAUCGCUCAACGGAUAAAAGGUACUCCGGGGAUAACAGGCUGAUACCGCCCAAGAGUUCAUAUCGACGGCGGUGUUUGGCACCUCGAUGUCGGCUCAUCACAUCCUGGGGCUGAAGUAGGUCCCAAGGGUAUGGCUGUUCGCCAUUUAAAGUGGUACGCGAGCUGGGUUUAGAACGUCGUGAGACAGUUCGGUCCCUAUCUGCCGUGGGCGCUGGAGAACUGAGGGGGGCUGCUCCUAGUACGAGAGGACCGGAGUGGACGCAUCACUGGUGUUCGGGUUGUCAUGCCAAUGGCACUGCCCGGUAGCUAAAUGCGGAAGAGAUAAGUGCUGAAAGCAUCUAAGCACGAAACUUGCCCCGAGAUGAGUUCUCCCUGAGACUUA